CUUUCUUUUUUUUCAAACACGCGUGCAGUACGUAAAUCCGCGAGUAAAAGUUGAGUAGUGUCCUCGCGCUGUAAAAACCGCCCCGGCACCUUCCCGAGAAAAGUGGUGCACGUGCUCUGCGGGGAUCGGAUGUCACGCCGAGCUAGUAAUCC
Molecule: long non-coding RNA, 152 nt
Organism: Copidosoma floridanum
Lineage: Eukaryota; Metazoa; Arthropoda; Insecta; Hymenoptera; Encyrtidae
Source: RefSeq, a predicted model, not a curated record